UACAGAGGGUGCAAGCGUUGUUCGGAAUUAUUGGGCGUAAAGCGCGUGUAGGCGGCUUAGCAAGUCGGGCGUGAAAGCCCUCGGCUCAACCGAGGAAGUGCACCCGAAACUGCUGAGCUUGAGUGCCGGAGAGGAUGGCGGAAUUCCCCAAGUAGAGGUGAAAUUCGUAGAUAUCUGAAGGAACAUCAGUGGCGAAAGCGACUUCCUGGACCAAUACUGACGCUCAUGUGCGAAAGCGUGGGGAGCAAACAGG
Molecule: ribosomal RNA, 253 nt
Filed under: uncultured bacterium
Lineage: Bacteria
Description: partial 16S ribosomal RNA
Rfam family: Bacterial small subunit ribosomal RNA
Source: RNAcentral